CCUACGGGUGGCAGCAGUGAGGAAUAUUGGUCAAUGGACGAGAGUCUGAACCAGCCAAGUAGCGUGAAGGAUGACUGCCCUAUGGGUUGUAAACUUCUUUUAUAUGGGAAUAAAACGUUCCACGUGUGGGAUUUUGUAUGUAUCAUAUGAGUAAGGAGCGUCGAACUCCGUGCCAGCAGCCGCGGUAAUACGGAGUAGCCGCGCGUUAUCCGGAUUGAUUGGGUUUAAAGGGAGCGUAGGUGGGUUGUUAAGUCAGUUGUGAAAGUUUGCGGCUCAACCGUAAAAUUGCAGUUGAAACUGGCAGUCUUGAGUACAGUAGAGGUGGGCGGAAUUCGUGGUGUAGCGGUGAAAUGCUUAGAUAUCACGAAGAACUCCGAUUGCGAAGGCAGGUCACUGGACUGCAACUGACACUGAGGCUCGAAAGUGUGGGUAUCAAACAGGAUUAGAUACCCUAGUAGUC
Molecule: ribosomal RNA, 460 nt
Filed under: uncultured bacterium
Lineage: Bacteria
Description: partial 16S ribosomal RNA
Rfam family: Bacterial small subunit ribosomal RNA
Source: RNAcentral